This 5094-nucleotide long non-coding RNA is filed under the name Xyrichtys novacula (pearly razorfish). The record is from RNAcentral. Lineage: Eukaryota; Metazoa; Chordata; Actinopteri; Labriformes; Labridae.
GUUGGAGCUAGGGUUAGGGUUGGGCUUGGAGCUAGGAUUUUUCUGAGUGCAAUGAACCAACUCCCGAGUCUCUAGGACGUUCCUAAAAAAAUUUGAUUUUUUUCCCAUAGGAAUGCAUGGGUUAGGGUUAGGGUUAGGGUUGGAGCUAGGGUUAGGGUUAGGGUUAGGGUUGGAGUUAGGGUUAGUGUUGGAGCUAGGGUUAGGGUUGGGCUUGGAGCUAGGAUUUUUCUGAGUGCAAUGAACCAACUCCCGAGUCUCUAGGACGUUCCUAAAAAAAAUUUGAUUUUUUUCCCAUAGGAAUGCAUGGGUUAGGGUUAGGGUUAGGGUUAGGGUUGGAGCUAGGGUUAGGGUUAGGGUUGGAGUUGGAGUUAGGGUUAGUGUUGGAGCUAGGGUUAGGGUUGGGCUUGGAGCUAGGAUUUUUCUGAGUGCAAUGAACCAACUCCCGAGUCUCUAGGACGUUCCUAAAAAAAUUUGAUUUUUUCCCCAUAGGAAUGCAUGGGUUAGGGUUAGGGUUAGGGUUGGAGCUAGGGUUAGGGUUAGGGUUAGGGUUGGAGUUAGGGUUAGUGUUGGAGCUAGGGUUAGGGUUGGGCUUGGAGCUAGGAUUUUUCUGAGUGCAAUGAACCAACUCCCGAGUCUCUAGGACGUUCCUAAAAAAAUUUGAUUUUUUUCCCAUAGGAAUGCAUGGGUUAGGGUUAGGGUUAGGGUUGGAGCUAGGGUUAGGGUUAGGGUUAGGGUUGGAGUUAGGGUUAGUGUUGGAGCUAGGGUUAGGGUUGGGCUUGGAGCUAGGAUUUUUCUGAGUGCAAUGAACCAACUCCCGAGUCUCUAGGACGUUCCUAAAAAAAAUUGAUUUUUUUUCCCAUAGGAAUGCAUGGGUUAGGGUUAGGGUUAGGGUUGGAGCUAGGGUUAGGGUUAGGGUUAGGGUUGGAGUUAGGGUUAGUGUUGGAGCUAGGGUUAGGGUUGGGCUUGGAGCUAGGAUUUUUCUGAGUGCAAUGAACCAACUCCCGAGUCUCUAGGACGUUCCUAAAAAAAUUUGAUUUUUUUCCCAUAGGAAUGCAUGGGUUAGGGUUAGGGUUAGGGUUAGGGUUGGAGCUAGGGUUAGGGUUAGGGUUAGGGUUGGAGUUAGGGUUAGUGUUGGAGCUAGGGUUAGGGUUGGGCUUGGAGCUAGGAUUUUUCUGAGUGCAAUGAACCAACUCCCGAGUCUCUAGGACGUUCCUAAAAAAAAUUGAUUUUUUCCCAUAGGAAUGCAUGGGUUAGGGUUAGGGUUAGGGUUAGGGUUGGAGCUAGGGUUAGGGUUAGGGUUAGGGUUGGAGUUAGGGUUAGUGUUGGAGCUAGGGUUAGGGUUGGGCUUGGAGCUAGGAUUUUUCUGAGUGCAAUGAACCAACUCCCGAGUCUCUAGGACGUUCCUAAAAAAAUUUGAUUUUUUCCCAUAGGAAUGCAUGGGUUAGGGUUAGGGUUAGGGUUGGAGCUAGGGUUAGGGUUAGGGUUAGGGUUGGAGUUAGGGUUAGUGUUGGAGCUAGGGUUAGGGUUGGGCUUGGAGCUAGGAUUUUUCUGAGUGCAAUGAACCAACUCCCGAGUCUCUAGGACGUUCCUAAAAAAAAUAGAUUUUUUUCCCAUAGGAAUGCAUGGGUUAGGGUUAGGGUUAGGGUUAGGGUUGGAGCUAGGGUUAGGGUUAGGGUUAGGGUUGGAGUUAGGGUUAGUGUUGGAGCUAGGGUUAGGGUUGGGCUUGGAGCUAGGAUUUUUCUGAGUGCAAUGAACCAACUCCCGAGUCUCUAGGACGUUCCUAAAAAAAUUUGAUUUUUUUUCCCAUAGGAAUGCAUGGGUUAGGGUUAGGGUUAGGGUUGGAGCUAGGGUUAGGGUUAGGGUUAGGGUUGGAGUUAGGGUUAGUGUUGGAGCUAGGGUUAGGGUUGGGCUUGGAGCUAGGAUUUUUCUGAGUGCAAUGAACCAACUCCCGAGUCUCUAGGACGUUCCUAAAAAAAUUUGAUUUUUUCCCAUAGGAAUGCAUGGGUUAGGGUUAGGGUUAGGGUUGGAGCUAGGGUUAGGGUUAGGGUUAGGGUUGGAGUUAGGGUUAGUGUUGGAGCUAGGGUUAGGGUUGGGCUUGGAGCUAGGAUUUUUCUGAGUGCAAUGAACCAACUCCCGAGUCUCUAGGACGUUCCUAAAAAAAUUUGAUUUUUUCCCAUAGGAAUGCAUGGGUUAGGGUUAGGGUUAGGGUUGGAGCUAGGGUUAGGGUUAGGGUUAGGGUUGGAGUUAGGGUUAGUGUUGGAGCUAGGGUUAGGGUUGGGCUUGGAGCUAGGAUUUUUCUGAGUGCAAUGAACCAACUCCCGAGUCUCUAGGACGUUCCUAAAAAAAUUUGAUUUUUUUCCCAUAGGAAUGCAUGGGUUAGGGUUAGGGUUAGGGUUAGGGUUGGAGCUAGGGUUAGGGUUAGGGUUGGAGUUAGGGUUAGUGUUGGAGCUAGGGUUAGGGUUGGGCUUGGAGCUAGGAUUUUUCUGAGUGCAAUGAACCAACUCCCGAGUCUCUAGGACGUUACUAAAAAAAUUUGAUUUUUUCCCAUAGGAAUGCAUGGGUUAGGUUUAGGGUUAGGGUUGGAGCUAGGGUUAGGGUUAGGGUUAGGGUUGGAGUUGGAGUUAGGGUUAGUGUUGGAGCUAGGGUUAGGGUUGGGCUUGGAGCUAGGAUUUUUCUGAGUGUAAUGAACCAACUCCCGAGUCUCUAGGACGUUCCUAAAAAAAAUUGAUUUUUUCCCCAUAGGAAUGCAUGGGUUAGGGUUAGGGUUAGGGUUGGAGCUAGGGUUAGGGUUAGGGUUAGGGUUAGGGUUGGAGUUAGGGUUAGUGUUGGAGCUAGGGUUAGGGUUGGGCUUGGAGCUAGGAUUUUUCUGAGUGCAAUGAACCAACUCCCGAGUCUCUAGGACGUUCCUAAAAAAAAAUGAUUUUUUCCCAUAGGAAUGCAUGGGUUAGGGUUAGGGUUAGGGUUGGAGCUAGGGUUAGGGUUAGGGUUAGGGUUGGAGUUAGGGUUAGUGUUGGAGCUAGGGUUAGGGUUGGGCUUGGAGCUAGGAUUUUUCUGAGUGCAAUGAACCAACUCCCGAGUCUCUAGGAUGUUCCUACAAAAAUUUGAUUUUUUCCCAUAGGAAUGCAUGGGUUAGGGUUAGGGUUAGGGUUGGAGCUAGGGUUAGGGUUAGGGUUAGGGUUGGAGUUAGGGUUAGUGUUGGAGCUAGGGUUAGGGUUGGGCUUGGAGCUAGGAUUUUUCUGAGUGCAAUGAACCAACUCCCGAGUCUCUAGGACGUUCCUAAAAAAAUUUGAUUUUUUCCCAUAGGAAUGCAUGGGUUAGGGUUAGGGUUAGGGUUGGAGCUAGGGUUAGGGUUAGGGUUAGGGUUGGAGUUAGGGUUAGUGUUGGAGCUAGGGUUAGGGUUGGGCUUGGAGCUAGGAUUUUUCUGAGUGCAAUGAACCAACUCCCGAGUCUCUAGGACGUUCCUAAAAAAAUUUGAUUUUUUUUCCCAUAGGAAUGCAUGGGUUAGGGUUAGGGUUAGGGUUGGAGCUAGGGUUAGGGUUAGGGUUAGGGUUGGAGUUAGGGUUAGUGUUGGAGCUAGGGUUAGGGUUGGGCUUGGAGCUAGGAUUUUUCUGAGUGCAAUGAACCAACUCCCGAGUCUCUAGGACGUUCCUAAAAAAAUUUGAUUUUUUUCCCAUAGGAAUGCAUGGGUUAGGGUUAGGGUUAGGGUUGGAGCUAGGGUUAGGGUUAGGGUUAGGGUUGGAGUUAGGGUUAGUGUUGGAGCUAGGGUUAGGGUUGGGCUUGGAGCUAGGAUUUUUCUGAGUGCAAUGAACCAACUCCCGAGUCUCUAGGACGUUCCUAAAAAAAUUUGAUUUUUUUCCCAUAGGAAUGCAUGGGUUAGGGUUAGGGUUAGGGUUAGGGUUGGAGCUAGGGUUAGGGUUAGGGUUAGGGUUGGAGUUAGGGUUAGUGUUGGAGCUAGGGUUAGGGUUGGGCUUGGAGCUGGAUUUUUCUGAGUGCAAUGAACCAACUCCCGAGUCUCUAGGACGUUCCUAAAAAAAUUUGAUUUUUUCCCAUAGGAAUGCAUGGGUUAGGGUUAGGGUUAGGGUUGGAGCUAGGGUUAGGGUUAGGGUUAGGGUUGGAGUUAGGGUUAGUGUUGGAGCUAGGGUUAGGGUUGGGCUUGGAGCUAGGAUUUUUCUGAGUGCAAUGAACCAACUCCCGAGUCUCUAGGACGUUCCUAAAAAAAAUAGAUUUUUUUCCCAUAGGAAUGCAUGGGUUAGGGUUAGGGUUAGGGUUAGGGUUGGAGCUAGGGUUAGGGUUAGGGUUAGGGGUUGGAGUUAGGGUUAGUGUUGGAGCUAGGGUUAGGGUUGGGCUUGGAGCUAGGAUUUUUCUGAGUGCAAUGAACCAACUCCCGAGUCUCUAGGACGUUCCUAAAAAAAUUUGAUUUUUUCCCAUAGGAAUGCAUGGGUUAGGUUUAGGGUUAGGGUUGGAGCUAGGGUUAGGGUUAGGGUUAGGGUUGGAGUUAGGGUUAAUGUUGGAGCUAGGGUUAAGGGAUGGGCUUGGAGCUAGGAUUUUUCUGAGUGCAAUGAACCAACUCCCGAGUCUCUAGGACGUUCCUAAAAAAAUUGAUUUUUUCCCAUAGGAAUGCAUGGGUUAGGUUUAGGGUUAGGGUUGGCGCUAGGGUUAGGGUUAGGGUUAGGGUUGGAGUUAGGGUUAGUGUUGGAGCUAGGGUUAGGGUUGGGCUUGGAGCUAGGAUUUUUCUGAGUGCAAUGAACCAACUCCCGAAUCUCUAGGACGUUCCUAAAAAAAAUUGAUUUUUUCCCAUAGGAAUGCAUGGGUUAGGUUUAGGGUUAGGGUUGGAGCUAGGGUUAGGGUUAGGGUUAGGGUUGGAGUUAGGGUUAGUGUUGGAGCUAGGGUUAGGGUUGGGCUUGGAGCUAGGAUUUUUCUGAGUGCAAUGAACCAACUCCCGAGUCUCUAGGACGUUCCUAAAAAAAUUUGAUUUUUUUCCCAUAGGAAUGCAUGGGUUAGGGUUAGGGUUAGGGUUAGGGUUGGAGCUAGGGUUAGGGUUAGGGUUAGGGUUGGAGUUAGGGUUAGUGUUGGAGCUAGGGUUAGGGUUGGGCU